AUUUUUAGAAAUUCUACCUUUAGGCUUUGGUCAAGUAAAAAUGUUCUACUUUCUUUAGAUCAUAUACUUUUUACUAUAAUAGAUUAUGGACAUAGCCAAGGUGGCUUUCACGGUACACGACAGAAAUUUGCACGCUCAAUCUAUUCGAAUGAUACUGUCAUAGUGGCAUACUGAUAAGAGAUAACGUUGAAAUCAAAUAUUAAAACAUUUAAAACCAAAUUUUUGAAUUUUGUCGACUUAUUAUUGAAUUUGCUACUAAUUAAUUGGGUAUCAAAAUUUUAUACUAAACUAUAAAAAUGUUCUUCAUCGACAUGGGCAGAGUGUGUUGUUUUUAUUGCCAAUCGUCGGCAUCCAAAAUGUUAGGUUUAACAUUUUACACAUUACUUGCUGAUGAAUAUUUACAAAAUGCUUGGCUUAAAGCUUGUGGUUAUACCGAAAACUAUUCAUCAGAUAGAAGAAUAUGUUCUCUCCACUUUGAAGAUGAUCGUUUUAUGGCCACUACAAGGAAAUUAUUAAAACCUGGUGGCUGGCUCAGUCCCUACAAAAUUUCAUAAAAUUACAUGGCAUUUGAUGCAAAUGAUUGAACCUAUUCAGUGUAUGGUAUCCUAUAAUAAAAAUCUCAUAGAAUCUACCAAAAGAACUACUACAUAAAGGAGGAAUCAUUAUGUUGGUGGUGUGACUACUCCAGAUAUGAGUACUUUGAAACGUGCUAAAGAUAAUUUCAAAGUGGCUAAAUUAAAAUUCAUUAAACAGAGGAGAAAAAUCAAAACAUUAACAUAGCAAAUUAAUAGGUUACAAAAAGAAAUUGAUCAUCAUGGAGAACUUUGUUUGCAUGUAUGAAAAAACAGAAUUUAUUGAGCGAAGUAGCCCAUGACAACACUCUGCCUACUACAUACCUAAUGCUGAUUAAUAAAAUAUGAAAGAAUCGAACUGCAGUCAAUAAAAACAGAUAUGGCAAAAGAAAAACAAGUGAAGGAAGAGUGACAGAAGUGACUGAUUAGUUAAUAGAGGAAUUUACUAAUUAAUAGGUUGGCAGGACAAGCACUUCCCGGGAAGAUGAAUAGGAACAAGAAGUCUAGCAGCUUUGGUCACCUAGGUCGUCCCACUUAACACCAAUGGAGUUUUUGUUAGAGGGUUAUUUGAAAAAUCUUAUGUAUCCGUUUUAUUUAUUGCCUGAUCUCCGUCAUAUAAUUGAACAAAAUAUUCAAAAUAUCUUACUUAGCUCAGACAUUAGAAAAUGUUAAAAACGCUUGGGUCCAAAAACUUCUACUCCGUGUUGCAAAUAAUGGAGGUCGCUUCAAACAUUUAUAAAAAAAAAAAUGUAAUGAAAUAUUUUUGUUUUUAUAUAAUAAAAUCUUUUUUUUCUAUUAACAAUCAAGUUUAAAAAUAUUAUCUGAAUUUUAAUUUUAAUCUUUUUUAAAAGCUCCACUUUUAAUUAGAUAUUUACAGAUUGCCAUAAAAAAUCAGCGUUCUAAUCGAGAUUGAUUAAAUUGAGCAAUUCGUAUUUUGCUAGGUAACAUAACUAUUAUUAUAAUUAUUCAAAAACAUAACUUACUCUAACCUGGUCAACUUUUAUUUAAUUUAAAAAAAAAUUGAAUUUUAUACCAUUCAGUCAGAAUUUUCAUAAAAUUUUCAAAAAACCGUGUUUAAAUUUAUUGAUUUUCCAUGGAGAUUUUAGGUCAUAUGAGACUUUUGGGACAUACUGUACACUAAAUUGAUUUGGUUUUAUAACAUUUUAUUUUUUAGAUCAGGACUAUUUAGCAUAAUGUUAUAAUAAACACUAAAGUUAAACUAAUUUCUCUGGUAGAGUUCUUACACUUAAUCCAUACAUUUUUAUUCCAAAUAUUUAAUUAUUAUAUAAUUGUAUUAGGUAUCUUAUUUUCUACAACUGUUGUUCACUUUUUCCAUGUUAGAUGCACUAUUCCUCAUAUCCAAACCAAACGUGAGACCACACGACAUCUCAGAGUUUCGUGUUCAACACAAUUGGCUUUCUACCUGAGGUCACUAUAGCAUUGAUGACCUGCUUACCAAAUAUGUAAGAUAACUUCUACUCAGUAUCAACAUCAUUGUCUUAUUGUUUUAGUUAUUAAAAAAUAUUUUUGAAGUUAAACUUUUCAAUGAAUUUAUUUGUGGUUCUUUUAUAAACUUAGUAUUUUUGAUAACUAAUUUGUAUUAUAUAUUUUAUCAAUGUAUUGUUAUUUAUUAGAAAUAUAAUGAUAUAUAUAUAUUUACACAUUAUAUUAUUUUCCGGUAAUAGAAAAUUAUUUUUUUCUUCUAUCACUAGUUUAAAAUGUAUAAAUUAUUAGAAUAAUGUUUUAGACAAAUUAGUUUAAAUUUGCAAUUAUAUUCUAAAAAUUAUCGUCUUUGUAAUUGCUUAUUUCAAGACAUAAUAUCUUUGUAUAAUCCCAUUGCCUACAUAGUGCAUAUUAAAUGGAUUAUCACUUCUAUAAUUCUAUGAGUUUUUACUUAAUACAAUAUAAUCUCAUUCAAGUAUUCAACAUAUUCUUAUCUAUGAAGUAAUAAUUAAUAGUCCUGAACGACAUACAUCUAGUUUUAAAACAGUUCUAUCAUCUUCGGUGGUUUUUGAUUCACACUUCAUUGAUAUGACAUUAAUUAUGCGUUGUUACUAUUAGACUUUAGUGCACGAUCUUCACUUUAUUUUAUAUAUUUAUAAUAUUAUGUAAUAAUGGCCUAUGAUGGGUGGCUUUCAUUUGAGCUAAUAACCCAGAAACAUAUCGCUUGGGUGAAAUUUAUACGGCCCCCUAUAAUAUGUCGUUAGGCAAGUUUAUAUACAUAAUUUUGGUGAAAUUUAUACGGAUAUUAUAAGGAUAUUAUUUAUACGUUUUCCUUCCCAUUUUCGGGUCUCUCAGUUAACUUUAACUUGAUAUGGUUAAAAAUUUGUAGUAAAUAUAGGUAAGUACCUAAACAUUUUUAAUAGGCAUGUUGUUAUUUCCCUCGCAAACUUAACUUCGGUUACAUAAUAAAGUUAAGUAUUCACAAGUUCACAUGAUUUCUACACAUGACACGCACACUUGUUUUCAUUUGAAAUAUUAUUUAAUUAGAUAUUUUGUAAGUGUGUGUACGUUCAACCAUGCGUAAUAACUGUUAAUCAUAUAUUUCGAUACUACCCUUAUGGCUUUAUACUAGUUUAGGAACUCCACUAUAUUAUAUACAUAGUUAGGUAUUAUAGUAUUAAUAUUAUAUCUGAUCAGUGUUCAGGAAUAUUUUUGUGCCUGCGUACCAGAUACAAAAUCGUGAUUGAUUAUUUUUGACCAGAGUGACAGUGUGUCACUAAAAAAUAAGUUUGUUUAAAAAAACAAAUAUUUUAAAAUAUACUUUAAAAACAAUUUUUGAACUGUUAUCUAUGAGAUCCAAAUUAAAUAUCAGUAAUGAUUUAUAGACCAUUUUAAACAUAUUAAACAUUAAUAGGAAUUUAUAUUAAAACAAUAUUAUAAUUCAUAUAGAUUGUACCUACAGUAUUUUCCAAUAUAAAUAUAUAUAUUUUUUUAACUAAAAUUGAUUGAACCGCGGUUUUACUCGAAAAGCGGUCAGUCAUAAUUUUACCAUUCCUGCUGUAGAUUAUCCAUAAACCGAAUAAUAUAAGAUAAUUCAUCACGUAUCUGGCUUCAAAUUCAACGAUAACUACGGUAUGCGUAUAAUUAACUAUUAACAUUUUAACAGUAUACCUAUGAUAUAAUAGGUAUAUAUUAUAUUAUAAUUAAGUCUGCUCAAGUGCACAACUGACAACAUAAUAUCAUUAUUCAGAUUAACCCGUACCUAUGUUUAAGCACCAACCAUUAUGAUUAUAUUUUUAUAUAUUUGUUCUUUCUUAGCUGAUCAUCGUCAUUUUCAUAGCUCCUCCGUUCUUUUUUCUCUGUAAACUUCCUACAGAUUAUAUUAACUCCAAUUCUGUUCUUACACUAAUUAACUCGAGGUUUCCUGUCCGAUACAUCCGCAAUACUUGUAAAUUGUCUAUUCCGCAUUGCUCAAUAAAUUGUUUAAAAACAACCCUAUCACCCGUAUGAUGGGGUUAACUAAAUGAUGAUCCGUCAUUUCAUGUUUAAUAUUUGAGUUUUUUAUUCAUUAUUGUACUAUAUUGUUUGUAUUUAUGUUAAUUUUUAUACUAUACCAUUUCGUAAUGUUUGUAUUUAAAUAAAUAAAUAAAUAUUAAGUUAUAAAUAUAUAAAUAAAAUUAUAAAACGUAAGUAAUUUUUUUAACUUUAUUUAAUGUGGGUUUUCUAUCUAAGAUACAUAAGAAUUAAAGAAUUACCUACUUAUUGAAAGAUUAAACGACAUUUCGAGUUUCAACAUACGCUGUAUUACUGUACUUAAGUAAUAUUAACACCUAUGUGGCUAUUUAUAUAACAUACGAUGCACCUACUUAUAAGUUAGGUAUGUUGAACACAUAUAAUUGUUGUGUUCACGUCUCUAUCACUACUACUCAACAUAAUGUUUAAAUUAUUACAAUAUAUAAAUUAAAUAGGCGUAUUGUAAUGUUGUAAUUAAUUGUAAACGAAGUAUUAUAAAGGUUAACCAUAUUUUGUUAUGAAUGUCAUUAUGAUAACACAUUAUAUGUUUCAGUGUUAGAUACGAAUAAUGUUGUAAUAUAUUUAAUUAUAAAUCUCAUUUUUUUUUGUU
Long non-coding RNA from Aphis gossypii (cotton aphid), 4638 nucleotides. RefSeq lists it as uncharacterized. The transcript is spliced from 6 exons. Lineage: Eukaryota; Metazoa; Arthropoda; Insecta; Hemiptera; Aphididae. The record is from RefSeq and is a predicted model, not a curated record.